Long non-coding RNA from Hippoglossus stenolepis (Pacific halibut), 786 nucleotides. RefSeq lists it as uncharacterized. The transcript has 2 exons. The record is from RefSeq and is a predicted model, not a curated record. NCBI's taxonomy places the organism in Eukaryota, Metazoa, Chordata, Actinopteri, Pleuronectiformes, Pleuronectidae.
UCCCGGCUGGAACAUUUCAGCCCGCCUGCCACGUCAGUUUGCCUCCACCAUCCUACCUCUCCCGUUCUUUCUUUCUCUGCCUUUUCGCACAAGGCAACCGACUUAAAAUGUACCGAUUCCAUUUUGGUGCCCGGCCACUCCGAGACCAAAGGACCGCAGCUCAUCUUUAGCAGUAGUUUGUAGUUGUCUUUUUAUGACGCAGAAGAAUGGAUAUGACUGAGGCCUUACGAAGAAGUUCGAGCGGCGAGAUGGCGACCUGCAGCUGCAAUGACCUCAGGGUCCUUCCCCCCAUCAGCCAUCAGAGUCCUAACCCCCCCGCCUGCCCAGUGUUCAGACUACCUGUUCAUCAGGCUACAGCUGAACAGUAGUCUGCACAUUGGUUAGGCUGGGCUGGGACACACACGCCUUCAACCACAGAGAUCGUCACUCUGGGAUAGUUUAUCUAAACAUGGUAUCGUAAUAUCUAUGCAUCCAUGUGGAGCUGAGUCAUCCCAGUUAGCCAUUUGUCUCACCUCGUCGUCUUUGUACCAGGAAAGGGACUCAGCGGUCAGGACAAACCAGUACUCCUUGGAGCCUCCUUUCAUGAUGCUGAUGUUGAUGGUUAGCCAGCCUUUCCUGAUCACCUGCACAGCGAGAAGAAGAAAGAGAAGGGUGGUAGGGAGAGUGGGGGCACCAGGAGGAUGGAGGAAAACAGCUUUAUCAAUCAGGUUUAUGCAUUGGUGACAUAAUACUGUGAUGUGACUAACACUAAUAAAAUCUUACCUCCUUACCUGCAAGGUCACAUAA